GACGAACGCUGGCGGCGUGCCUAAUACAUGCAAGUAGAACGCUGAAGAGAGGAGCUUGCUCUUCUUGGCUGAGUUGCGAACGGGUGAGUAACGCGUAGGUAACCUGCCUUGUAGCGGGGGAUAACUAUUGGAAACGAUAGCUAAUACCGCAUAACAAUGGAUGACACAUGUCAUUUAUUUGAAAGGGGCAAUUGCUCCACUACAAGAUGGACCUGCGUUGUAUUAGCUAGUAGGUGAGGUAAUGGCUCACCUAGGCGACGAUACAUAGCCGAUCUGAGAGGGUGAUCGGCCACACUGGGACUGAGACACGGCCCAGACUCCUACGGGAGGCAGCAGUAGGGAAUCUUCGGCAAUGGGGGCAACCCUGACCGAGCAACGCCGCGUGAGUGAAGAAGGUUUUCGGAUCGUAAAGCUCUGUUGUAAGUCAAGAACGGGUGUGAGAGUGGAAAGUUCACACUGUGACGGUAGCUUACCAGAAAGGGACGGCUAACUACGUG
RNAcentral lists this ribosomal RNA (497 nucleotides) under uncultured bacterium. RNAcentral's name for it is "partial 16S ribosomal RNA". It matches the Rfam family "Bacterial small subunit ribosomal RNA", at positions 28 to 507 of the family's 1533-position model. The record is from RNAcentral.